This 5588-nucleotide long non-coding RNA is filed under the name Solanum tuberosum (potato). RNAcentral describes it as "long non-coding RNA (STUB_LNC008219)". The record is from RNAcentral. Lineage: Eukaryota; Viridiplantae; Streptophyta; Magnoliopsida; Solanales; Solanaceae.
UUUUUUUUUUUCUCUUUUUGACUUACUGGGCAUGAUUCAUUCUUUUGAACACACAGUGUUUUAAAACAUAAUUCCUACAAAUAGAAAAAAAAAAAAAAAAAGACGUCUUAUCUAAAGAGCAUAUUAAAGUUUCUCCACUCAUUUGACGUUUGCUCUUUCACUAUUCAAUGCCCCACCAUUUGUAGUUUUUUGUGAACAUAAUUACAUUUUUACAAUAAUGUUAUUUUAUCACUUUACGUAUACAUGAGUUUGUUAUUAUAAUCAACUGGUACGGGUAUAGAGGUAAAUUUGUUUAGUAAAGUUACACCCUAUGAACUUAGCUCCCGUUUAAAUGUAAAAUUUCAAAUUUAAUUUUUUAAAUUUAUGUUUGAACAUAUAUUAUAUUUUUUUUAAAUUAAGAUUAUGAGCGAAAGUUUCAAAAGUUGAUCUAAACUUUAAAGACUAAAGCCACUGAAAGUAUUUGUAGAUCAUUUUUAAAAAUAAAAAAAAAGAUGACCAUAAGGAUGAAUUUUUAAUAAGAAAAAACUAUAUAACUAAACAAACAUAACAUAAUGCAUAGAGAAAUUUGUGACUAGAAUCUGAAUGAGCUUUUGAGAUAAUAACAAAUACUCCCUCCAUUUCAAAUUAAUUAAAUUGUUGAGACAUUUUUCAUUUUUCAAAUUAACUUAAUUGUUCAAUUUUCAAGAUUACUUUUAGAAUGUUCUUCCAAUUUUAUCCUUCAUUAGUUUGUAAUGGAAUUAGUUAUUAAUUAAUGCUUAGUUAUUUAAUAAUAAAUUUGACAAUAUUUAAUAAGGGUAAAAAUGGAAAAUCAUGUCCAAUUUAUGUCUUAAUCUUCUUUUCUUAAAGGGUGUGAAACACCUCAACAAUUUAAUUAAUUUGAAAUAGAGGGAGUAACGAGUAAGAGUAGAGAAGCUAAUGCAUUAUUGCAGGUUUAGGUUGAGCUAUAUUUCAUUAUAUGAUAUGAGAUUGCCUUUUUUUUUUGGAUUAAAAAUGAUUAUUUCAUUCCUAGAGGAGAGAAACUCCUUAACCACUAAGCACCAAUAAAAAGGGUGUGCAUGAUAUAUUGAAGGCGGAAUGGUCUAGGAGGCCCAUGUACUUGUCUCAGUUUGUCACCUGCACCCUUCUACUCACGACUUUGCCAACUGAACCUUCGAACCCACUAAAACCCAAUAUUUUAAAUCCUUUUUUGAUUACUCAGUGGUGCGUGAACUACAAACGUCACACGUAACUUUUCACAUCAUUUAAAAAUGCCACGUAGAAAAUGACAUGUUAAAAAUAGGCUAAUUUCUUUCCCUUCCAAAUAUUUCUUUCCCACAGCCUUUUCAACUAGAACCUUGUACUCUCUCUAGUCCCGAUUUACAUUGUUGAUCACCACGAUUUUUUAUUUAUUUUCUGAAGUGUUUGAGUUUGUGUUUCACUCUAUAGUUGUAAGUUUGUUAAUUGAUUUUCAUUCUCUUUGUUUUGCAGUUGUUUUUUUGGUGUUUCAUUUUGAAUUUUGUUGUUUUAGGGUUUAGUACUUUUGCAAAGGUUAUGGUGUGAUUUUUAGGAGGAGUUUGAUUUUUUACAAGCCUAAUAACAAUUUGUAGAAGUAUUAUGCAUUCAAUGACAUUUGUCGUGAAUAUGUUUUGAAUCUAGGGAUUUUUUUCGUAACUGAAAUAUUAUUUUUUUAUCAAUUGUGUUGGAUUUCUUUCUUGUUAGUGGUCCAAUUGGAUUAUAUCAGAUUAUUAUAGAGCUUUUUGUUGUAUUCCAUAAAGAAUUACUUUAAAAUUAGGUUUUUUUUUUGUCAAUUAAGGCUUUUUGUCAAUUAGGGCUUUUUGUCAAUUAGGGAUUUUUUGUCAUUUAGGGCUUUUUGUCAAUUAUCUGAAAGUAUUCUUGUGACUUUGCAGGCAUGGUAAGAAUAUGGCUUCAAUAAUUAUUACACUUCAAAUGCAUUAUGGGGGCUGUUUUUUAUCAGACCCUGAACUCCGGUAUGCCAAUGGAAUUUCUGAUCUUGAAAAAAUAAGAAUCGAUAUGAAUGAGCUCCAUAUCAUGUUUUUUCAGAAAUUAGCUAGUGAACUGGGAGUUGAAAAGUUGAGACCUUUGGGUGCAAAGUUAACAAAAGAGGUGGUUUUUAUAUAUUGAAUAGUGAUGCUGAUGUGUUAAGAUUUAUUAACAACUGAAAGGGUGGGGACUUUGUUGAUGUGUAUGUGGUACAUCAAAUUUGUACCCCUUUAAUUGUUGAGGAUCCUAAUGAGGUGCAACUAGCCCAAUUGCUUACUCCCAAAAUAGGUAACCCCCCCCCCCCCGCCUACUGUUAUAAAUGUUAGGGCUGAUGUGUAUUUCCCUCAACCAUCUGAUAAAAAAGAUGAUACAAAUAUAAAAGAAGAUCAGCAACCUAGGGUAGACAAGGGAAAGAAUAAGGAGACUGAUGCUCUUGAGGUUUCUUUAGAGGACUUAGAUGAAGAUGAAGGUCAAGGUCAAGGCAAUUGUCGUGUCGUAAUUUGACUAUUUCUAGAAAAAUCACUUUUUGAAAUGUUCUAAGUAUAAAACAAUUUAAGAAAAAUACUUAGAAAAGAGUCGCCACUUAAUUUUUUAAAGAAAUCAAGAAAACUUAUAAUUUUCAAAGAUUUAAACAGAAAAAAUCAUUUGAAAAUAUCAGAAAGGGUUCGGUGUUCAAUUUACACUUCGAGAAGGGUUUAAGCAUUCGAAGUGCCCGCUAACAUGCGGUUGACCUGUGACUUGACUAAAAUAUAUAUUUGACUAUUUUUAGAAGAAAUAAUAAUUUAACAUUAAAAAAAUAAUAACUUGUAAUAUAUUUGAUUAAGAAAAUAAUUAAAUAAAUGACGCAUUUUUUAUUAUUAUUUUUUAGAAAAUGGGACCUUAAUUGAACCAUUUGAAUUAAAGACAAGUAAUUAAAAUAUCAACAAAACUAGAUUAAUUGGUUUUUAUUUGAAUCAUUUUUUAAAAUAAUAAUUUAAACCAAAUUGGUUAAUCUAAGCAUGAAAAUAUUUUUUAAUUAAUUGAAGAAUAAAAGCAAAGUUUUGACUAACUUUUUGAGAAAAAGUGACAAAGUAAAAGAAAACCAUUUUUCAAAGUUUAUUGAAGAAAAAUACUUUAACUUAAAAUAAUUUUAGAAUGAGCAAAAAAAUGUGUGGAGAAGCGUUAAAUAACACAUUUUUUAAGAACAAACGAUUUAACUUAAUUGAGGAUGUAAAAUUUGACCAAUAUUUAAUUAAUAAAAUAAAUGACCUCAGCACACAAAAAAAAGUAUUCAAAAGCAAACCAACACAAAGAAAAUAACUCGUCUUUUGGGGGAUCUAAUUAAGUUAAUUAAAAAUUAUAAAGUGAGAGUUAAACAACAAAUAAUAAAUAAUCACGAUUAAAUAAUUAAAGAGUAAGGGAGAAAUUGAAUUUGGGCCUCCUUUUGGGCCAAUUUCGCUGAAAUUUUUUGCCUUCAAACCAAUCCCGUUUUUGUAUACAGCUGGUGUAUAUCGGUGUAUAUCAGCAUAUGCAUAGGCUUUUUUCAUGUAUCUCUUGCUUCCGAACACCUAUAUUUCACCUUAGCCCUGUAUUUUCACACUUUUCGGCCUGUAUAUGAGUGUAUACCGAUGUAUAUCAAUGUAUACAGGCUGCAUAUCAGUCCCCCUUUUCAGCUUUCCAGACCUGUAACGGAUUUCCGAUUUUCCAGCGAUGACCGGAGCAGUACUCGAUACUCGAAAAUGCAAGGAGAUGAUGAAAAGAGUCCAAUUUGGACUCCGCAAAACAUCAUACGUAAGGAAAGUGAAAGGAAAGAAAAUUAGUAUACUCUCUUGAAUGCUUUCUAGAAAUAAAGUUUACAUGAAAACAUUACUCUACGCAUUUGCUGGAAUGAAUGUGGUAAUUAACAAAAUGUUUCAACUUCCAAUUGGCUUCCAAACAGAAAACAAGGACAUGUUUCUUCAAAAAUGUGAAAAUCGUGAAGAUGUUGACAAACCCACAUACAAGAAACAAAUUAAAAUAAAAAUUUGAGGCCUACCUCCCAACAUGCUAAAAUUUUAACCAAUCUACAUGAAUAAAUAAAUUUAUGAUAUUGUAAGGAACAAUAGAUAAUUAGCUUUGGAAAGGAAGAUGAGUUUAACAUUUGGAAAUACCAAACAGUGACAUAUGAUUGAAUAAAUUGCAUGAGUGCAAUUCAAUUUAGCUCACGUAACCAACUAAUAUACCAUCGUUAAUAUCAAAGUUUGCUAUUCUAUAAUUCAUCUAUUUCGAAUGAUAUUAAGUGAAGCAUUCUAAUCUCACAUAACCAAAUGAACUUGAAACUACAACAACAUAGUCAUUUUAACAAUGAAUAUAGUUUCACGUCAAUGAACCAAUGCUACUACGACAUAUUAGGAAAGACCACCAAAUCAGGCCAAAAGGAAAUGAAAUAAACAAACCCCCUGGAGACAGUAACUAACAACAUUGAUGGAAAAAUACACUUUAGACAAGCUUUAUUUAGCUAGGGAAAUCAGUGGGGCAUAUAAUCUUACGAGUUCAACUAGGCAAAGAAAAAAGAUGGAAACAUGCUGGACAUAUGCUUAACAAUUAGCCACGCUUACGUGGACUGAAUGAAAUUAGUUUUUUGAUAAAAAGAAAGGUAUCUUAAUACAAACGAUAAUAACUUAAGGCGAAAAAUAACAACUCUACAUUAAUACGAACCCUUAAGUAUGACUACGAAUCAUGUCUUAGAGAAUUACACACUUGAAUCAUAUGACUAUUUGACUCGAUUAUAUCCAUUUUAAUCAGAAAAGCGAACAGAUCCAUAAUGAAACGAAAGGAGGGAAAAAGCUUCAGCUACUUGACCAACAAUGAAACGAAAGGGGGGAAAAAGCUUCAGCUACUCGACCAAGUAAACUGCACAUUCAUAGUAAUCAAAACAAGGAAGAAACACACCAUUUGAGCUUCCAAAGAGAAGAAAAAGAAAUGCAAUUAAACUACUAUACAAAAUAUAACAUGAAUGAUAAACUAAAACUAAACAGAGCUGAAAAUUGCUAAAGAAAGAAGAUUACCUUCUUCCGGGCAGCGAAUGGAACAAUGACGAGCAGAGACGAUUGACUUCCACCACUACACGAGGCUUUGCCGAAAAGCUUGGAUGCAAGCUUCAAGAACGAAACUUUAAAAACUCGCACCUUAAAACUCUUUUACUAUCUAAGUCGAUUUAUAAAUAAAUAUUUCUCUUCUAUCUCUCCCACUUCUUCCUUGCUUCUGUUCUCUCUAGUAUCUAUUUUUCCCUUUGUUUCUUGACAAAUUUUCUUUUCUUUUCUUUUUUCCACCCCCCAACAAUGAAGAAGAAGAGAGUUUAUAUAGGGGAUUUUCUCUGGUUCGGAAUUUGGGGGGAAACGAGUGAGGAUAAGGAUGAAUUUCCAAUUUGAAAUUCAAAAAUUCCUCCAAGAUACAAGGCUCAACCAGUUGGAAAUAGUACCAAUUCCAACGGAUUGAGAAGGAGGGUCGUUCGAUCUUGGCAAGGACGAGUGAAUCGCAGAGAUUGGGACACGUCGAGAGGAGAGAGAUGUGCGCUGCUGUUGGACGCGAUUGAGUCGCGAUUUUUGGGUUUUCACAGUGGAGAAGAAGAAGAAACGUGUAAGGUCAGG